Molecule: unclassified non-coding RNA, 302 nt
Filed under: Bombus terrestris (buff-tailed bumblebee)
Lineage: Eukaryota; Metazoa; Arthropoda; Insecta; Hymenoptera; Apidae
Description: misc RNA ENSBTSG00005031778.1
Source: RNAcentral
AUCUCACCUAGGUUUCGAACGUUGUAAUUUGCUUACCAUUCUAUGUACAUGGUCGGUAUUACUGGUCGAUGAAUCGCGAGCUCGACGAAACUCAAACGGAAUUCUGUCGCUCGUUAGACGAUGAAAAACGUUAAAAAACGUAACAAGAUACACACGGAAAAGGACGGAGGAUAACAAAAACAAAGAAAUAGAGGGAGGUCGGUAUUCCUGCAAAAAUUUCGGCUGGAAUAACGAAAUGAAUGCAGAAUCGCUUCGAGUCGGUCGAGUGGCCCACUCGAAACGAAAUACGAUGUGGAUGCGAG